UACGAAGGGGGCUAGCGUUGCUCGGCAUCACUGGGCGUAAAGCGCACGUAGGCGGAUCGCUAAGUCAGGGGUGAAAUCCUGGAGCUCAACUCCAGAACUGCCUUUGAUACUGGCAAUCUCGAGUCCGGGAGAGGUGAGUGGAACUGCGAGUGUAGAGGUGAAAUUCGUAGAUAUUCGCAAGAACACCAGUGGCGAAGGCGGCUCACUGGCCCGGUACUGACGCUGAGGUGCGAAAGCGUGGGGAGCAAACAGG
This 253-nucleotide ribosomal RNA is filed under the name uncultured bacterium. RNAcentral's name for it is "partial 16S ribosomal RNA". It matches the Rfam family "Bacterial small subunit ribosomal RNA", at positions 524 to 776 of the family's 1533-position model. The record is from RNAcentral.